Molecule: long non-coding RNA, 2751 nt
Filed under: Homo sapiens (human)
Lineage: Eukaryota; Metazoa; Chordata; Mammalia; Primates; Hominidae
Description: cervical cancer associated DHX9 suppressive transcript, transcript variant 3 (CCDST)
Source: RNAcentral
GCACUUCCGGGGCCCGCGUCCCCCGGCGGCUUCGCCGAGAAGGGGCUUUGGGAGCUUAAGGGCGCCGGCACGCGUUCCCCUGGCGCAGAGCUCGCUAGCCGGGGCGCGGGCUGCCUCCUUGUUCUGGUGUGAUCCGAAUGUAACGGAGCGGACUUUGGGAUCCAGAACCCCGGACUGAGGUUGUGCUUGGCUUGAGGGGCGGGCUGGUAGGUCAGCCCCCUUGGGGCGUCGUUGGUCCUCUCCAGGCGUGUCACAUUCUGCCCGCACAUGGUGCCUUGGUACUCCCCAAAAGUCAUGCCUUGAUUUUUCUUACUAAUAAUAGUUUACACUGUUUUACCGCUUCACUGCUUCACGAUUUUUCCUCUUAGGAUUUAUUUCCCUGGAGACCUCAUGAAGAAUGAUGUGGGUUCUAUAGGGUACAGUGUGAUCUGGGUCCUGCCUAAUCUCCUUUCUAAACUUCAGAAAAUCAUGUACCUUGGAGUUGUGGAGGCAUGUUUAUAAGCAGAUCUGAGUUUUGCCACACUGGAAUUUAUUUAUUCAUUGAACAAAUAUUUAAUACCUACUACAAUUCUUAGCCGAUAUCCAGACAACUUGGAGCCAAGUCCCCACAGCUGGAUCAGACAACUUUUGGUGACAUCUCACAGUGUGGAUUAUCAAGCCAGUGUAUCAGUCUGGAGCCUAGGUUUUUUGCCUUUAGCUUUGCUCAGGAUGACUUCUGCUCUUCUAUGGCAAUACUUGAGAAGCUACAGCUUUGAUUAGACGAGAGGCUAUUUCAAUAACUUUCUCCUGAUAAGAAGACCACCGACCGUGGACGGAUUCUGGCCAGUUUACAAAGGCUGCAUACCAUAGGGCAGGGCACCCCACUAUGGCAAACACUAAUAAUGAUAUUGCUCCUGAUUUUGUUUCUGAAGGGAAUGCCUCUAAGAUUUCUUCAUUAAUUAUAAGAGACUGGGUCUCACUCUGUUGCCCAAGCUGGAGAACAGUGGCACCAUCAUAGCUCACUGCAGCCUUCAACUUCUGGGCUCAAGUGCUUCUCCCACCUCAGCCUCCCAAGUAGCUGGGACAACAGGUGAAAUUGAAGGCCAGCUUUUGGAACUCAACCUUCAAAGGAACUUAAAAUUUCCAUUAUGUAGAGUCCCUGAGGAAACUGGAUCCACUAGCUACACUGGCUGAGAAUGCUCUCACCCCAGGAUUUCAUUUUUAUUUUACCACAUCAUUGUUGGUAUCUUAAGAUCAAUGUACUGGAGCAGCGGGGUCUCACAAAGAGGAUACCUGGUGACACGCCCAGGCUUUCAGAAUGCACUAUAGGGCUUUAGUGACUUGUCCAGGUUCAGCUGAAAUGUGCCAUCUGGGACCUACUAAUGCUUGUUGAACUUUACUGGAUCUCAGAAGCUGGGUCUCAGAAGCUCAGAUGUUCCUCAGAGCUACGAUAUCAACAACCUGUGAUGACAGAGAGAAGGUUGCUCCAUGAUGGAUUUGGAAACUUACUGGCUAGCUAAACCUGACUGAAUGGGAAGGAAUGUGGAUAGCUUUGGAACUCUAGUUUCACUAGAUGAGCUGGAAUUUGUAUUUUGACAAAUUGCACGUUAUGAUUAUUAAGUAAUGCAACUGAUUUUUUUUUCCCUUAAAACAAACAAUCUAGAAUCUGUGUAAUCAAAAUAAUUUCUCUAAAAGGCUGCAAGUAUAUGCUUAAAGUGUUGGGGCAUUCAGAGCAUUUGGAACAUUACAUUCUUUUGAAUGUCAAUUGGUAGAUGAAAAUACCAGCUUUUAAGUCAUACAUUUGAUUUUUUGAAACAAUAUGCAUUUAGAGUUUGUAAGUCAAGUGAAUAACUGAUAAGGUAAAAAAAAGGGGGAGUUCAUUGUUGAGUAUGAAUUUAAAGUAACCAGACUGCCUUUUGUCCAGUGGCUGUCAGUAAUUUACUUCAGCAGGCAUUUUUUUUUUUUUGAGGCUGUUCUAUGAUAUCAUGACCCUUCUUGUAGGAAUGUGCUUCCAGUGGUGAGGCAGUCUGAGAAUGUGUGAAGCAGUAUAAUGAAGCCAGACCAAGAUGGAAGCUUGGCCUGGGAUUUGAGCAUCAGGAAAACUGUUGAAGGGUUAUGUAUACAUCACACACACACACACACACACACACACACACACACACACACACACACUCUCUUCCAUACUCCUAUAACAACGUAUAGUAUUUACUAUACCUGGUGACAGGUAUUUACUAUACAUUGUUGAAGAUCUAUAACAUGGAAUGCCUAGUGCUAAGUGCAGUGUCCUUAGUGAAAUUGUAUUGGUUUGGAAUUAUUUAUGAGUUUGGGAUUAUUUGUCACUACCCUUAAAUGAUCUUGACACUCACCUAUUUGAAAAGAUAUUGAGGAUUUGCCAUUUGAUAUUGACCAGGGUGUAUUGUGCACAAAUAUUGUGAAUAUACAUCUGUCUGUCCUUAAAUCACUGUAAGUUUUAACUGGAAUAGAUUUGCUCCACAUUACUCGGUAGGGCUGAUAUUUCAUGCCUCAUGGAUGAGAAAAGAAUAGGCAAAAAUUAUAUCUCGGGCUGCCUCACACAUCUUUUAACAGGAUAAGGGAAAAAUAAAUAUAAGACCUAUGAGUUAUGGCAUCAGGCUUGAACUUUAAUUUAUGAAUUAAACCAACAAUAUUAUUGAUUAUUGCAAUUAUCUAUCUUAAUUUCAUUUGUUCUCCUUUUAAAAAUUAAUUAUGUUUAUUUUACCUAUUGUGAAUAAAGUCACUCCUCCCAUGUGCUUA